GUUAAUGUAGCUUAAAACAAAAGCAAGGUACUGAAAAUACCUAGACGA
RNAcentral lists this transfer RNA (48 nucleotides) under Elephas maximus (Asiatic elephant). Its description in RNAcentral is "partial tRNA-Phe". The record is from RNAcentral. Lineage: Eukaryota; Metazoa; Chordata; Mammalia; Proboscidea; Elephantidae.